UACGAAGGGGGCUAGCGUUACUCGGAAUCACUGGGCGUAAAGGGUGCGUAGGCGGGUCUUUAAGUCAGGGGUGAAAUCCUGGAGCUCAACUCCAGAACUGCCUUUGAUACUGAGGAUCUUGAGUUCGGGAGAGGUGAGUGGAACUGCGAGUGUAGAGGUGAAAUUCGUAGAUAUUCGCAAGAACACCAGUGGCGAAGGCGGCUCACUGGCCCGAUACUGACGCUGAGGCACGAAAGCGUGGGGAGCAAACAGG
RNAcentral lists this ribosomal RNA (253 nucleotides) under uncultured bacterium. RNAcentral describes it as "partial 16S ribosomal RNA". It matches the Rfam family "Bacterial small subunit ribosomal RNA", at positions 524 to 776 of the family's 1533-position model. The record is from RNAcentral.